UGGGGAAUAUUGGGCAAUGGGGGAAACCCUGAUCCAGCCAUGCCACGUGAGUGAAGAAGGCCUUCGGGUUGUAAAGCUCUUUCGGCGGGGACGAUGAUGACGGUACCCGCAUAAGAAGCCCCGGUAAACUUCGUGCCAGCAGCCGCGGUAAUACGAAGGGGGCUAGCGUUGUUCGGAAUUACUGGGCGUAAAGCGCGCGUAGGCGGUGAUCUUUGUCAGAGGUGAAAUCCCGAGGCUCAGCUUCGGAAUUGCCUUUGAAACGGGAUCGCUUGAGUCCGAGAGAGGAUGGCGGAAUUCCUAGUGUAGAGGUGAAAUUCGUAGAUAUUAGGAAGAACACCGGUGGCGAAGGCGGCCAUCUGGCUCGGUACUGACGCUCAGGCGCGAAAGCGUGGGGAGCAAACAG
RNAcentral lists this ribosomal RNA (403 nucleotides) under uncultured bacterium. Its description in RNAcentral is "bacterial SSU rRNA". It matches the Rfam family "Bacterial small subunit ribosomal RNA", at positions 355 to 775 of the family's 1533-position model. The record is from RNAcentral.